RNAcentral lists this long non-coding RNA (1310 nucleotides) under Coturnix japonica (Japanese quail). Its description in RNAcentral is "lncRNA (ENSCJPG00005017184.1)". Lineage: Eukaryota; Metazoa; Chordata; Aves; Galliformes; Phasianidae. The record is from RNAcentral.
CAGAAAUGUUGAAGUAUACGUAUACCGUGUCAGACAGUUCUACUACUACAGUAACUAUGGUAAUUCCAUAUGUGUAAAGUAUAUAGAGCUAUUCAGUUGAUAUCUGAGGUGUCUACUCCAAAGUAAAUUAAAAUACUUAGUUCCAUCAGUUGCAUGGACUGUGUUUUCACUGACUACAAUGGGAAAAUGAUUAUGUUAUUCUAUGAAUUUGUACCUAAGUAUCUACACACACACUACAUUUCCAAAAACCUCAUUUAGGAGGGUUUAAUAUGGGGCUAAACUGACCAAAUUCAAUUCCAAAUGGCAAUACAACACUUACCUGAGGAACCUUCCACAGAUGAUGGCUUAUUGAGCGAAAUAGAUUAUAAGACUGUUAAUGUCCAGAUAGGUAAAGCAAACAAAACCUCUAGACUCAUCAACUCAAUCUAGAAGCCUACAGAUAAAGAGCAGAAAGUGAAUUUGAAUUAACUGGUUCCUCCUAUUCCCUUCCCUGCCAAUCCCCUCACUGCAAGAAAAAAUGUUGUCAGUCUACAGUAAUUACAACACCCACAUCCCUAUUACCAUGAGGAAAAAAAAAAAGCAAGGUGGAUGACCUUUAUGUGCCCUUCUUAAGUCUUCUCUCUACAUAUUUUCUCACUGCUCCUUCAAUCACAAAGGGCCAGAGUCAAUCUGUUUCCUCUCCUGAUGACACUGUGGCAGACCUCCACAGGCACUGCCUGCAGGAGCAUUCUCUCUGACAACGGAGAGCCAGCCCGCAACAGUUCUAUUCAUAGAGCAGAAGAGAAAAAUCUUCUCAUGAUUGGAGGCUCCUAGCAAGAACAGCAAGCAAGGACUGACAAGCAGCAAGGACAGGAAAGCCACUUCCAUGCAUGGAGCCCAGCUCUGCCCUGGAGAAAUGCAGGUGUUUGCAAACAAUGAAAGCUACAGCCCAUAUCCCACAAGAAACCAAGACAACAAAUGAAACAGAACCAGCCCAGGGCAAUAACAGACAAAGAGUGAAUGCUCUCACUGAGAAAAAAGGAAGAGAAGCAGAGGGAUAUUACCUGACAAAAGACCUGCUGAAACAAGAGGUGGAAGAAGAGAUUGCAAAAGGUUAAAAUACAAAUACAUGCCUAUGAACCUGCUACAUAUAAACGUAGCUGGGAGUCUGAAGGAAGCUGCCAACAAGCAGAGAAGUAAGGCUGUGGCACAGUUAACUUUAGAAGCUCUGACAAUUUUACAUUAAACAGCUGCUGAAGUGGCAUUUGGUCACUGUGCAAAGUACGUUUUUGAUGAAAUGCUCACAGCAAUAAACUGCAUUUGGCGGUCCA